UUGGUCAUUUAGAGGAAGUAAAAGUCGUAACAAGGUCUCCGUAGGUGAACCUGCGGAGGGAUCAUUACACAAUAUGAAAGCGGGCUGGCAUCCUUCGGGGUUACAGCCUUGCUGAAUUAUUCACCCGUGUCUUUUGCGUACUUCUUGUUUCCUUGGUGGGUUCGCCCACCAUAGGACAAACCAUAAACCUUUUGUAAUUGCAAUCAGCGUCAGUAAAAAAAUUAAUAAUUACAACUUUUAACAACGGAUCUCUUGGUUCUGGCAUCGAUGAAGAACGCAGCGAAAUGCGAUAAGUAGUGUGAAUUGCAGAAUUCAGUGAAUCAUCGAAUCUUUGAACGCACAUUGCGCCCUUUGGUAUUCCAAAGGGCAUGCCUGUUCGAGCGUCAUUUGUACCCUCAAGCUUUGCUUGGUGUUGGGCGUCUUGUCUCCAGUUCGCUGGAGACUCGCCUUAAAGUAAUUGGCAGCCGGCCUACUGGUUUCGGAGCGCAGCACAAGUCGCGCUCUCUUCCAGCCAAGGUCAGCAUCCACAAAGCCUUUUUUCAACUUUUGACCUCGGAUCAGGUAGGGAUACCCGCUGAACUUAAGCAUAUCAAUAAGCGGCGGA
This 604-nucleotide ribosomal RNA is filed under the name uncultured Pleosporaceae. RNAcentral describes it as "eukaryotic LSU rRNA". The stretch from base 233 to 386 matches the Rfam family "5.8S ribosomal RNA". Lineage: Eukaryota; Fungi; Ascomycota; Dothideomycetes; Pleosporales; Pleosporaceae. The record is from RNAcentral.